This 213-nucleotide long non-coding RNA is filed under the name Mytilus galloprovincialis (Mediterranean mussel). Lineage: Eukaryota; Metazoa; Mollusca; Bivalvia; Mytilida; Mytilidae. The record is from RNAcentral.
AAAGUUUACUGUAUCGAAUGUGAUUUAAUUAGGAAUUGAAUGUUUCUUUUUGUAAUUCAUUGGGUGUAAAAGAGUUGACCGAAGUACAUUUUGUAUGAAGCGCAAAAGCGCUUCAUUCUAAAAAUGUGCGCACGGUCAACGCUUUUACAACCCUCUGAAGUUACAAAAAGAAGCAUUCAAUACUUAUAAGUAUAUUUUUUAGCUAGGACCAUG